This 253-nucleotide ribosomal RNA is filed under the name uncultured bacterium. RNAcentral describes it as "partial 16S ribosomal RNA". It matches the Rfam family "Bacterial small subunit ribosomal RNA", at positions 524 to 776 of the family's 1533-position model. The record is from RNAcentral.
UACGUAGGGACCAAGCGUUGUCCGGAAUCAUUGGGCGUAAAGAGCGUGUAGGCGGCUUGGUAAGUCUUGCGUGAAAUCUCGGGGCUCAACCCCGAGCGGUCGUGAGAAACUGGCAGGCUAGAGUGCGGGAGAGGAGAGUGGAAUUCCUGGUGUAGCGGUGAAAUGCGCAGAUAUCAGGAAGAACACCCGUGGCGAAGGCGGCUCUCUGGUACGUGACUGACGCUGAGACGCGAAAGCGUGGGGAGCAAACAGG